RNAcentral lists this ribosomal RNA (492 nucleotides) under uncultured bacterium. Its description in RNAcentral is "partial 16S ribosomal RNA". It matches the Rfam family "Bacterial small subunit ribosomal RNA", at positions 29 to 507 of the family's 1533-position model. The record is from RNAcentral.
AGUGAACGCUGGCGGUAGGCCUAACACAUGCAAGUCGAACGGCAGCACAGUAAGAGCUUGCUCUUACGGGUGGCGAGUGGCGGACGGGUGAGGAAUACAUCGGAAUCUACUUUUUCGUGGGGGAUAACGUAGGGAAACUUACGCUAAUACCGCAUACGACCUACGGGUGAAAGCAGGGGAUCUUCGGACCUUGCGCGAUUGAAUGAGCCGAUGUCGGAUUAGCUAGUUGGCGGGGUAAAGGCCCACCAAGGCGACGAUACGUAGCUGGUCUGAGAGGAUGAUCAGCCACACGGGAACUGAGACACGGUCCAGACUCCUACGGGAGGCAGCAGUGGGGAAUAUUGGACAAUGGGCGCAAGCCUGAUCCAGCCAUACCGCGUGGGUGAAGAAGGCCUUCGGGUUGUAAAGCCCUUUUGUUGGGAAAGAAAAGCAGCAGGUUAAUACCCCGCUGUUCUGACGGUACCCAAAGAAUAAGCACCGGCUAACUUCGUG